GUCCCGUACACGAAAGCACACAGGUUGUGAACUCGAAGAGUAGGGCGGGACACGUGGUAUCCUGUCUGAAUAUGGGGGGACCAUCCUCCAAGGCUAAAUACUCCUGACUGACCGAUAGUGAACCAGUACCGUGAGGGAAAGGUGAAAAGCACCCCGGAAGGGGAGUGAAAUAGAACCUGAAACCGUGUGCUUACAAGUAGUCAGAGCCCGUUAAUGGGUGAUGGCGUGCCUUUUGUAGAAUGAACCGGCGAGUUACGAUUUGAUGCAAGGUUAAGCAGUAAAUGUGGAGCCGUAGCGAAAGCGAGUCUGAAUAGGGCGUUUAGUAUUUGGUCGUAGACCCGAAACCAGGUGAUCUACCCUUGGUCAGGUUGAAGUUCAGGUAACACUGAAUGGAGGACCGAACCGACUUACGUUGAAAAGUGAGCGGAUGAACUGAGGGUAGCGGAGAAAUUCCAAUCGAACCUGGAGAUAGCUGGUUCUCUCCGAAAUAGCUUUAGGGCUAGCCUCAAGUGAUGAUUAUUGGAGGUAGAGCACUGUUUGGACGAGGGGCCCCUCUCGGGUUACCGAAUUCAGACAAACUCCGAAUGCCAAUUAAUUUAACUUGGGAGUCAGAACAUGGGUGAUAAGGUCCAUGUUCGAAAGGGAAACAGCCCAGACCACCAGCUAAGGUCCCAAAAUAUAUGUUAAGUGGAAAAGGAUGUGGCGUUGCCCAGACAACUAGGAUGUUGGCUUAGAAGCAGCCAUCAUUUAAAGAGUGCGUAAUAGCUCACUAGUCGAGUGACACUGCGCCGAAAAUGUACCGGGGCUAAGCAUAUUACCGAAGCUGUGGAUUGUCCUUUGGACAAUGGUAGGAGAGCGUUCUAAGGGCGUUGAAGCAUGAUCGUAAGGACAUGUGGAGCGCUUAGAAGUGAGAAUGCCGGUGUGAGUAGCGAAAGACGGGUGAGAAUCCCGUCCACCGAUUGACUAAGGUUUCCAGAGGAAGGCUCGUCCGCUCUGGGUUAGUC
Molecule: ribosomal RNA, 1004 nt
Filed under: Helicobacter pylori
Lineage: Bacteria; Pseudomonadati; Campylobacterota; Epsilonproteobacteria; Campylobacterales; Helicobacteraceae
Description: partial 23S ribosomal RNA
Rfam family: Bacterial large subunit ribosomal RNA
Source: RNAcentral